AUUGGACAAUGGGCGCAAGCCUGAUCCAGCCAUACCGCGUGGGUGAAGAAGGCCUUCGGGUUGUAAAGCCCUUUUGUUGGGAAAGAAAUCCAGCCGGCUAAUACCYGGUUGGGAUGACGGUACCCAAAGAAUAAGCACCGGCUAACUUCGUGCCAGCAGCCGCGGUAAUACGAAGGGUGCAAGCGUUACUCGGAAUUACUGGGCGUAAAGCGUGCGUAGGUGGUCGUUUAAGUCCGUUGUGAAAGCCCUGGGCUCAACCUGGGAACUGCAGUGGAUACUGGGCGACUAGAGUGUGGUAGAGGGUAGCGGAAUUCCUGGUGUAGCAGUGAAAUGCGUAGAGAUCAGGAGGAACAUCCAUGGCGAAGGCAGCUACCUGGACCAACACUGACACUGAGGCACGAAAGCGUGGGGAGCAAACAGGAUUAGAUACCCUGGUAGUCCACGCCCUAAACGAUGCGAACUGGAUGUUGGGUGCAAUUUGGCACGCAGUAUCGAAGCUAACGCGUUAAGUUCGCCGCCUGGGGAGUACGGUCGCAAGACUGAAACUCA
RNAcentral lists this ribosomal RNA (549 nucleotides) under Stenotrophomonas sp. TK45. RNAcentral's name for it is "bacterial SSU rRNA". It matches the Rfam family "Bacterial small subunit ribosomal RNA", at positions 363 to 903 of the family's 1533-position model. The record is from RNAcentral. Lineage: Bacteria; Pseudomonadati; Pseudomonadota; Gammaproteobacteria; Lysobacterales; Lysobacteraceae.